ACUGAACGCUGGCGGAAUGCUUUACACAUGCAAGUCGAGCGGCAGCACGGGGGCAACCCUGGUGGCGAGCGGCGAACGGGUGAGUAAUACAUCGGAACAUGCCCAGUCGUGGGGGAUAACACUUCGAAAGAAGUGCUAAUACCGCAUACGUCCUGAGGGAGAAAGCGGGGGAUCGCAAGACCUCGCGCGAUUGGAGUGGCCGAUGUCAGAUUAGCUAGUUGGUGGGGUAAAGGCCUACCAAGGCAACGAUCUGUAGCUGGUCUGAGAGGAUGAUCAGCCACACUGGGACUGAGACACGGCCCAGACUCCUACGGGAGGCAGCAGUGGGGAAUUUUGGACAAUGGGGGCAACCCUGAUCCAGCCAUUCCGCGUGAGUGAAGAAGGCCUUCGGGUUGUAAAGCUCUUUCGGCAGGAACGAAACGGCGAGCUCUAACAUAGCUUGCUAAUGACGGUACCUGAAGAAGAAGCACCGGCUAACUACGUG
This 484-nucleotide ribosomal RNA is filed under the name uncultured bacterium. RNAcentral describes it as "partial 16S ribosomal RNA". It matches the Rfam family "Bacterial small subunit ribosomal RNA", at positions 30 to 507 of the family's 1533-position model. The record is from RNAcentral.